This 166-nucleotide ribosomal RNA is filed under the name Zenia insignis. RNAcentral's name for it is "5.8S ribosomal RNA". It matches the Rfam family "5.8S ribosomal RNA". From Rfam's summary of the family: 5.8S ribosomal RNA (5.8S rRNA) is a component of the large subunit of the eukaryotic ribosome. It is transcribed by RNA polymerase I as part of the 45S precursor that also contains 18S and 28S rRNA. Lineage: Eukaryota; Viridiplantae; Streptophyta; Magnoliopsida; Fabales; Fabaceae. The record is from RNAcentral.
AAYGACUCUCGACAACGGAUAUCUCRCCUCUCGCAUCGAUGAAGAAUGUAGCRAAAUGCGACACUUGGUGUGAAUUGCAGAAUCYCGUGAACCAUCRAGUCUUUGAAUGCAAGUUGCGYCYGAAGCCAUUAGGCCGAGGGCACGUUUGACUGGGUGUCAYGUAACG